CACAUGCAAGUCGAAGGAGAAGGAUGGUGCUUGCACCAUCUGGAGACUGGCGCACGGGUGAGUAACGCGUAGACAACCUGCCUAUAACUGGGGGAUAACAUCGGGAAACCGGUGCUAAUACCGCAUAUUGUCACUGCCUCGCAUGAGGCGGUGAUGAAAAACUUCGGUUGGUUAUAGAUGGGUCUGCGUGCCAUUAGUUAGUUGGUGGGGUAAAAGCCUACCAAGGCGAUGAUGGCUAGGGGGUCUGAGAGGAUGAUCCCCCACACUGGAACUGAGACACGGUCCAGACUCCUACGGGAGGCAGCAGUGAGGAAUCUUGCGCAAUGGAGGAAACUCUGACGCAGCCACGCCGCGUGCCGGAAGACGGCCCUAUGGGUUGUAAACGGCUUUUGAUUGGGAAGAACUGUUCCGUUUCGACGGGACUUGACGGUACCAUUUGAAUAAGCACCGGCUAACUCCGUGCCAGCAGCCGCGGUAAUACGGAGGGUGCAAGCGUUGUCCGGAAUCAUUGGGUGUAAAGGGUGCGCAGGCUGGCGCCUAAGUCGGAGGUGAAAUCUUGCCGCUUAACGGUAAAAUGGCCUCCGAUACUGGGUGUCUUGAAUCUGACAGAGGCCGGUGGAAUUCGUGGUGUAGCGGUGAAAUGCAUAGAUAUCACGAA
Molecule: ribosomal RNA, 658 nt
Filed under: uncultured bacterium
Lineage: Bacteria
Description: bacterial SSU rRNA
Rfam family: Bacterial small subunit ribosomal RNA
Source: RNAcentral